This 780-nucleotide long non-coding RNA is filed under the name Rattus norvegicus (Norway rat). Its description in RNAcentral is "long non-coding RNA NONRATT034129". Lineage: Eukaryota; Metazoa; Chordata; Mammalia; Rodentia; Muridae. The record is from RNAcentral.
GCGGAUCCAGUUGGUUGUGCUCUCUUAGGCAAGUACGAGUGACUUCGGCGGUUUUCUCCAUUCCGCUUACCUUCCGGAGUCUUCAUUUCUACAACCGUUGACUGAAAAGCAGCCGAAAUUUUUUUUUGUUCUGUGAGGGAAACGACGACCAGAUGACAAUGCGGACGACAACCAUCAUCCCCCUCAUUCCAAGAGGACAAGGAAGGACCAGACCGAACAGGAUCCUUGUGCUAUAGAGUGUCUCUGACUCCUCUGAUUCUGCUUCCAGAAGGAUUCACCUAAUAAUUGACUGUGAGAAUCUGCAUAUGCUCCCAUCUGUUGAAGGAUGAAGUCUCUCUGCUGAUGAGGCUGCUAGGCUCUAGUCCCAGAACACUACAGGGAAAAAGCCAAUCUUCUCAAGAAUCCCACUUCUUCCCAGAGACUCUGGCCACAUUCAGACACAGUUCCUGAGAGACCUGAGCAGGAGGGCCCAGUUUCUCAGAACUGUUCGUAGAGGCUCAGCUCAGAGAGCUGGGCUACCUCUCUCCUCGAAAGACCACCAGACAUUGGACAGCAUCUGUCAUCAGCAAGAACUGAAGAGGAGUUUGGCACCCAGGCAGCGUGGGACAGGGUCCAGAGACAGCAAAAGGUGGUCUGCUACUAUCAGAGCCCUCUGAAAGGUACCCAUUGGUCACUCCAAACACUACCCAAUGAGAAAUAGAAGAAACACUGAAGAAAUCAUUGUUCCUAGACAUACCUAGCAUCUGUUUCAGCCAAAAUCAUCGAGAGAUCACUGAAGAG